AUUGAACGCUGGCGGUAUGCUUUACACAUGCAAGUCGAACGGUAACAGGUCUUCGGAUGCUGACGAGUGGCGAACGGGUGAGUAAUGUAUCGGAAUGUGCCUAGUAAUGGGGGAUAACCACUCGAAAGAGUGACUAAUACCGCAUAAUAUCUCAGGAUGAAAGCGGGGGAUCGCAAGACCUCGCGUUAUUAGAGCGGCCGAUAUCAGAUUAGGUAGUUGGUGGGAUAAAAGCCUACCAAGCCAACGAUCUGUAGCUGGUCUGAGAGGAUGAUCAGCCACACUGGGACUGAGACACGGCCCAGACUCCUACGGGAGGCAGCAGUGGGGAAUAUUGGACAAUGGGCGAAAGCCUGAUCCAGCAAUGCCGCGUGAGUGAUGAAGGCCUUAGGGUUGUAAAAGCUCUUUUACCAGGGAUGAUAAAUGACAGUACCUGGAGAAUAAGCUCCGGCUAACUAACGUGCCAGCAGCCGCGGUAAAACG
Molecule: ribosomal RNA, 480 nt
Filed under: uncultured bacterium
Lineage: Bacteria
Description: bacterial SSU rRNA
Rfam family: Bacterial small subunit ribosomal RNA
Source: RNAcentral